RNA transcript from Olea europaea var. sylvestris, 9301 nucleotides. It is a transcript of the gene named serine carboxypeptidase-like 32, with no coding region annotated. The record is from RefSeq and is a predicted model, not a curated record. The transcript has 7 exons. Lineage: Eukaryota; Viridiplantae; Streptophyta; Magnoliopsida; Lamiales; Oleaceae.
UAUUUUCACCAUUCACUACGAUCUUGUGAGUUCUCAAUAUUCAAUUAUCAAUCGAUGCUUCAAUUUUUUGUUUGACGAAAAUACCCCAAUACAAUUCAGAUAUUUUUAGAUUCACCAAUACCAUAGUUGCAUGCACUUUUUAGUCAUUUCACUUAUCUAAUGACGGUCACAUUCUUCGACUACCAAAAAAUGGGCAUGUAACGCAAAGGUCACAAAAAAUAGUGAGUUUAAUCAACAAAAAUACUAAAAUUAAUAAACGUAAAAAAUGAAAAAUGGAAAGAAAUCGCGGAAAAAUAAAAGAUGAACACUGGAUUUUUCGCCCUAAGGCAAGAGGUUUAGAACUUCGUUCAUAAUCCCCUUAUGAGCUUCCGUCAAAACAGAAAAAAUCACUAUAUCAACGAAUCAAUGAAGCUGUCCAAAUUGCACAUCUCGUAGCACUCAGAAUAUCACUCAAGAUUAUUCAACAUAAGCCUCACUAAUUGAUACAGCCAUUCACUCAAGAAUAGAUGAAGAUAAUCUGUACAAAUCACUCAAGAUUAUACAAUUUUGGGGCUCAUAUCGAAGGAAGCUUUCUUGGACAGAUUUUUUAGAUCGAAAGAAGGAGAAUAAUCUCUUGAGAGAGAUGAAGCGGCAAACUGAGAGAGAGAGAGAGUGAAAAUUCCAGAUUCUAGCACCAUCCAGGAACCCUAACGAGGGUUAAGUAGAAGACCCUAGAAGUCUUGCAAUCCAACGAUGAGUAAUACAACACUUGGCAAGAUCAUAACCAUUGCUUCAAUUGUAUAGAAAGCAUGUUUUAAUAACACGAUUUUUGCCAACAUUAAGUAAACCAUUUAUCUCUUGGACUAACUGGCCCAGCAGCUUAGAAGAAGUAUUAAGUCAGCCCAACAUCAUUGUGCCACAUUUCUUCACAUUCUCCACCUUGGUACAAUGAUUCUAGUUUCAUCUAUAGUGAUUUCUCCAGUUUUUGACAUCAUUUGCUCUUAUUCCUGAUACACAAAUCAGCAAGAAUUAAUAUUCAACUGUUUUAAACAGUCCAAACACUUGUUUAAAGGCAGCACUUUGGUUCUAAUAUCAGCAGGAUUAAAUUGUAUAGAAAUCUUUUCAAGUUUAACAACACCUUGAGAAAUUACAUCUCUAAUAAAAUGAAAUUUCACAUCAACAUGUUUUGAUCUAUUAUGAAGCACAAGAUUUCUACUCAAAUAUAUAGCGGAUUGGCUAUCAAAAUGCAAGACAACAUCAUUUAUGAAACCAAAUUCAUUUAAAAGUCAUUUUAGCCAAAUUCCUUCUUUAAUUGCAUCAGUUGCAGCUAUAUAUUCUGUUUUCGUUGAAAAUAAAGCAACAAUCUUUUGUAAUUGUGAUUUUCAGCUUAUACAGGAAUUACAUAAAGUGUACACAUAGGCAGAAGUUGAUUUUCUGUUGUCCCUAUCACCUACAUAAUCAGAAUUUGUGUAACUCCUAAAGAUAACACCUUCAGAUUGCUUUUUAUACUCAAUUCCUAGGUCACAAGUUCCUUUUAUAUAUCUUAGAAGCCACUUCAUAGCUUCCCAAUGAACCUCACUAGGAUUGGACAUGUAUCUACUCAAUAUACUUAUUGCAAAUGCCAAAUCAGGCCUAGAACAAAUCCUUAGAUAUAUAACUGAUCCCACAGCAUUAGAAUAUGGUACUCUAGCCAUUCUUUUGAACUUUUCUUUAGUUUUGGGAGAUUGUUCAUUAGAUAAUUUGAAGUAUUUUCAAAGCAUAAGAAUUUUUAUUUAGACUCAUUAUGUCCUUUCUCUCUUUUUUUUUUAAUUUCGAUACCCAAAAUUUUUCUAACAAAACCUAAGUCCUUCAUUUCAAAUUCAGAUUUUAGUUUGUCUUUAAUUAACUCUAUUUCCUUUAUGUCAUGACUAGCCAAAAUCAUGUCGUCCAUAUAAAGUAAAAGAUAGAGUGAAUUCUCACCUCCGUUUCCUUUACAAUAAAAACAAGUAUCGAAAUUACUUCUUUUAAAACCAAGUCCAAGUGCAAAAGUGUCAAAUCUCUUAUACCAUUGUCUUGGAGUUUGUUUUAAACCAUAAAGUGACUUUUUAAGAAGGCAUACUAAGUCAGAAUUUUUAUUCACUUCAAAACCUUUUGAUUGUUCCAUAAAAAUGGUUUAUUCAAGAUCUACAUUUAAAAAUGUAGUUUUUACAUCUAAUCGAUCCAAUUCCCAAUUAAAUUGAGCUGCAAAGGCAAGUAUGACUCUUAACGAUUGUAAAUUUUACAACGAGGGAAAAUAUUUCAUUAAAGUCUAUCCCCUCCUAUUGAGCAAAACUCUUAGCCACAAGUCUUGCUUUAUAUCUAACGUCUUUCUCAUCUUUUUCACCUCUUUUGAUCUUAUAGAUCCACUUGUAAUCUAUAACUCUCUUUCCCUUAGGUCUCUUGACUAAGGUCCAAGUUUUAUUCUUCCUCAAAAAUUCCAUCUCAUCAUGCAUUGAUGCAAGCCAAUGCUUAGAGUUCUUACUACUCAUAGCAUCUUUAUAGGACUCGGGUUCAUUCUCAAUGAACCCCUAAACAGUAAGAAGGGACAUUUCAUCAUCAAACCUCACAAGUGGUCUUAUUUGUUUCCUUUCUCUAUCUUUGCAAGUUGAUAAUCAUUUAAGGGUUGAUUUACUUCAAAAUCAGAUUCAUUCAGAUCAGUUUCAUUGAUAUUUUGAACCUCAAUUUCACUAUUUCCACUCUGAUCAGGUUGUAGAUUAUUAUUAUUAACUUGCUCCACCUUAAUUUCACUUUCCCUUCUUUCAUUUUCAGUCUGACCAAAUUCAGUUGUGUUAUUUUCAGAUUUCAAACAAGGUAUAUUAGAUUCAUUAAACACCACAUUUCUACUCAAAAUGAUCUUAUAGCCUUUGGUCUCUUUUACCCAAAGUCCAUACCCCUUCACCAUAGCCCAAGAAAACACACUUUAGGGCUUUAGGUUCAAGUUUUCCUUCAGAUUGGUUUGCAAAUGCUGCACAACCAAAUAUUUUUAGAUUUCUCAAAUCUACAAAUUUUUCUGUCCAAACUUCUUCAAGUGAUUUGAAUUGUAUAGCAUUAGCAAGGCUUCUAUUUAUGAGAUAAUUAGCAGUUUUUGCAGCUUCUCCCCAAAAUAACUUGGGAAGACCAAACCUAGUAAGAUACAUCUAACUCUUUUAAGAAUAGUUCGGUUCAUUCUUUCAGCCAAGCCAUUUUGUUGUGGGGUGUGUGUCACUGUUCUGUGUCUUAGAAUAUCAUACUCUUUGCACAAUUCAUCAAAUUUAUAAUUGCAAAAUUCAAGCCCGUUAUCAGUCCUCAACACUUUAAUCUUUUUAUUUGUUUGAUUUUCAAUCAAGAUUUUCCAUAUUUUAAAAGCAUUAAAAAUAUCAGACUUAUGUUUAAGUAGAAAGAGCCAAUUUUUCCAAAAAAAUCAUCUAUGAUUAAAAGGAAAAAUCUGAAACCAGUAUAUGUGGGCAUAGAAGCUGGUCCCCAAAUAUCAGCAUGCAAGUACUCAAUAAUAGACACAGAUUUAUGCAUCCCAGUAAAAAAUGGUAGUCUAUUUUGCUUUCCUAGUAAGCAAUGAUCACAAAAACUGAGUUUCUCAAUUAUAUCUUUACCAAAGGCACCUUAUUUUUUUAAAAUUUGCAAGCCUCUGUCACUAUGUGGCCCAAUCUUUUAUGCCAUAGUUGUGACUUAUCAUUGGGGGCAGAAAUUGUUGCUGGUGUGGAGUCAAAAAAGUAUUGAGCGUGUAAAAUGUAAGGUCUAUGUCUCUUGGGGGCUUCGGCAACAAGUUGAGAGCCACUCAAGAUUUUAAUGUAUCCCUUGUUGAUCACAAUAUUAUAGUUCAGGUCAUCUAGGACACCUGAGGAUAUGAGAUUUCUUUGUAGGUUAGGAACAUACUUGAUUUUUUCUAAAGUCAAUUCAGUAUUAUCGUCAAACCUUAAGGUGAUUGUUCCCGUUCCUUUUACCUGGCAAGACAUGUGAUUACCCAUUAACACUUGGCCUCCAUUUACAUUUUCAAACGCAAUAAAUCACUCUCUUUUAGGACAAAUGUGAAAGGUGCAACUAAAGUCAAGGAUUCACUUCUGACUAGGUGUACUGUGUGUAGCAACAUAAACCUCAUCUAUGUUGUACUCAUUUUUAUAAGUCAAUGCAGCACCACCAUCAUUAUUAGACUUAUUUUUCAAAUCAUUAAGUCUCUUAUGGCAAUCUUUAAUAAAAUGACCUUUACUUAGACAAUAAAAAUAUUUUUUACCCUUAGUCUUGUUUUUCAUUUUAUCUUUAAAGUUUACCUUCUUCUUCUGUCCAGGUUUCUUAUUAAAAUUGGCCGUCUUGGAUUAGGAUUAGGUUUGGACUUAAUCAUCAAAUUUUCACCACUAACAGAUUCUCUCUUUUCAUAUUUUAACUCUAACUCUUUGUUUCUCAAUGCAUUUAUUAUCACGUCAGUAGUUAGAGUCUCCCUUCCAUAUUCAAUAGCAUUUUUAACAUCUCUAUAUUUAUCACUUAUUGAAUUUAACAAAAUCACAGCCAACUGAUCUUUUGAAAGUUUCUGAUCACAAUCGGCUAGGUCACGGGAUAAUCUGUUGAAUCUAUCAAUAUUUGCCUCAAGAUCAAGAGAUAUGUCCAAUUUGAAACCAAAAAAUUGUUUUAGAGGUUACACUUUAUUAGGCAUGGUUUUAUUCAAAUAAGUAUCUUCUAAUUUCUUCCACAACUCAGCAACAGUUCUUGUCUCACCAAUCUCUCUUAACACACUAUCAGACAAAUGCAAGAAUAGAAAACUCCGUGCAAUUUCAUCAAGUUCAGUUUUCUCCAUUUCUUCCAUAUCAUCAGGCAAUGACACAUCAAUGGCUUUUGCACAUUUUUGUUGAAGUAAAAGAGCUCGCAUUUUCUGGUGCUAGAGACUAAAAUCUCCUUUACCAUUAAAGAUUUUCAAUUCAACUUUAGUUGACAUAAUCAAAACACAAUUUGAUUUUUGACAGUGCAGGCAGAUCACAUAAGUUUUGAACAAUAUCUACAACAUUUGAUUAUUAUUAUGAGAAUUAAUCCUAGCAGUAUCUUAAAUGUCAUACACAAUAAUCAAUAUAAAGUGUACAACCAGCAAGUUGUAUGUCACAAAUUAUUCAACAGUAACACUCAGCAGUUCAUUCAAUUUCCAAAUAAGCAGUUUACUCAAAAAACAACAAAUUAUCAAUUCACAGUAAUAUAAUGACAGCAUCCUUUAUACUUUUUAUUCAUGAUACUUGCAAGAAUCAUAAAAAGAAUAUUAAACCAUUGACCUUUACUCGAGAUAGCCCUCAGAUUCCAAACAAAUCACGGUUUCUGGACUAAGGCACUAUUAAGAAGUCUUCGAUUUAUUAAUUUUUACCACAAUUGCAAGGGUCACAGGAUAUAGUCAGGUAAGGUAUACUAUAACUUGAAGAUAAAUGAAACGAACUCACCAAAAAACCCUUAUUAGGGUUUUAAGGAGCAAUCGAAAUUUACUGAACCAGUUCGAAUACUCUUCGAAUCUGUCGACACUAGUACCAAAAACCCCCGUCACGAGCUCUAAUACCACUUUAACACGAAGUUCACAAAAAAACAGCGAGUUUAAUCAACAAAAAUACCGAAACUAAUAAACGUAAAAAAUGGAAAAUGGAAAGAAAUCGCAGAAAAAUAAAAGAUGAACACAGGAUUUUUCGUCCUAAGGCAAGAGGUUCGGAACAUCAUUCCUAAUCCCUUUUUGAGCUUUCGUCAAACAGGAAGAAAUCACUAUAUCAACGAAUCAAUGAAGCUAUCCAGAUUGUACAUCUCGUAGCACUCAGAAUAUCACUCAAGAUUAUUCAACAUAAGUCUCACUAAUCGAUACAGCCAUUCACUCAAGAAUAAAUGAAGAUAAUCUAUACAAAUCACUCAAGAUUAUACAAUUUUGGGGCUCAUAUCGAAGGAAGCUUUCUUGGACAGAUUCUUUAGAUCGAAAGAAAGAGAAUCAUCUCUUGAGAGAGAUGAAGCGGCGGAAUGAGAGAGAGUGUGAAAAAUUUAGAUUCUAGCACCGUCUAGGAACCCUAAUGAGGGUUAAGUAGAAGACCUUAGAAGUCUUGCAAUCCAACGAUGAGUAAUACGAUACUUGGCAAGAUUAUAACCAUUGCUUCAAUUGUAUAGAAAGCGUGUUUUAAUAACACGAUUUUUGCCAACAUUAAGUAUACCAUUUAUCUUUUGGACUAACCUGCCCAGCAGAAGUAUUAAGUCAGCCCAACAUCAUUGUGCCACAUUUCUUCACGGGGUAACUUUUUUCAAUGUAAAUUGUCAAAGUCAGAGGAACACAAGAAGAUUGAUUAUAGAAUGAUUUUGGAGUCAGUAGAGGGGUAUUUUGGUUAAUUCAUGGUUGUUGAUGCUCUGUAAUCGGCGGCAUGUUUUCGUGGCAAUUUGGAGAAGUUUAUUUAGUGGUUGAGUGCUUAGUCUUUUUCCAAUUAUGGGGACACAAAGUAUUAUAGGUUGCAUUGUGAUUUUGUAAAUAAUUAACCGACUUCAAGUUUGUUAAGAAUAAUGUUUAUUCCUUCGUUCUUAGGAUUAAAUUAUCUUUUAAUGCAGUGAAAUUUGAAGAAUACCAGCUUUAUCUUUUCUUUUUGGGUAAAAGGACUCAAUAUGAUGUUAUUUGCUGUGAUAUAUGUGCUUGAUAGAGUGUUAUGAGAGUUCUUUUUCUAUGAAUUUGGGUCUCUUUUAACUUGUGAGUCCCAGUAGAUUUGGUUAUAUGUUAUUAGUGUAGUUUAUUUUAAAUUUUGAAGUAGUUUAAACCUUUUGUUGUUUAUAGCUUUAUAUUAAAUUUGAGGCAUUGAGGUUUUAAAUUUUACUCUUUGUGGUCCAUUGAAUAAAUAUGACAGAAUAAAUUAUUGCAUCUUGCUUAUUUGAGUUUUGAUUAAAUAAGUUCAAUGCCAUGGGGGCGUUGAAACUGUAGUGUAAUACUAAAUGCCAAAAUAUAUGACAAGUCCGUGUAGUAUGCAUGCAUUUAAGUUUAUGUUUAUUAAAGAAAAUAACCUUGGAUAAAACAUUUUGUGAUGAGAGAAAGAUGGAUGAUAUCCUCUUGAUGCUAUCUACACUGUAAAUGUUAAUGCUUCAUACUUGGAUGAGAUAGUAUGAUAUUUGAUCCAUUUUGUUUACAAGUUGGUGUGUACGUUUUGUUGUAGUUCUUCUAUUUUUUUUUAUGGUGCAGUUGGGCCAUCCCAUAUAUGAUAGAGACCAACAAAUGGAACCAGCUUAAUAUUAUUGAACUUGGAGGAAGACUUACCUUGGCACUGAAGCCAACUUAUUGUUUCUAGAUUCUCCAAUUGGCGUUGGAUUUUCAUACUCAAGCAUGAGUGGUGAUUAUGAUAUUCUUGGAGAUGACUUUGCCGCCGAUGAUUCCUAUGUUUUCCUACGCAAGAGGUUCCUUAAGUUUCCAUCAUACACGAUGAGGAAAUUUUAUAUUGCUAAGGAGAAUUAUAAAGGCGGAUAUGUUCCUGAGCUGGCUGAACUCAUUCAUUACGGGAACAAAGAUCCCUCUUUAUUGAUAGAUCUUAAAGGCAUUAUGGUGUAAUUCGGUUCCCAUUUAAUUCAAGGACUGAGUUUCAAGAUUAGUGCCAGGACCCUAAGAUUUUAAAUGGAGCAAAUGAUCACAGACGGACGUUCAAUGCUAACUGAUAAUUUUAUUGCAGCUGGCCAAUUGCAAAACAUGUGACAUAGAGGUACUUGACACUUAUCAGGGACAGACUGUGCUUCUUGAUGAGAGGUGGUAUGUUUGAUUGGAUUUAUGGUGACAAUUCAUUGGCUAAUGAUGCAUAAUAUUAUAACUGGGUAUUUGCUGAAGCGGAGCAUGGAAAACUAACUUUUCCAGAGAGAAGCACAACCAUUCUAGAGAAGAGUUGCCAGUACUUUUACUACUUUCUUCAGUAGGGAUGGAGGGAGUUGUAUAUAAGUAAGCACAACGAGAUAGUUGCAAAGGCAUAUUUGGUAAUGAAUAAUGUAGAAAACGCUUUAGCUUAUCAGUCAGUUAAAGUAGGGAAUUAUUUGAAACUGGUUGAAUUCAUGAAGUUGAGGCAAUUUGGAUUCAAAGAUGUACAAGUGUUCUUUGUCAAACCAAAGCUCAAUUUGGUUGGCUUGCACUGCUAAAUCAUAUAGCUUCACCUGCUGGUUAUUUGAUGGUGUACUAUGGUGUGCGUAGAUGGUUCCGUGCUGCAAAUCUUUAACUGCAUAAAGCAGCAUAGCUUGCAAGGAUUCAAUGACUUCCGACGAAAACCUACAGCAACAGCUUGGAAGAGCGUAGGCUAUUAUGCAGCAUACGCAGCUACACAUAAGCUUCGGUUACCUGGAAAAGGGUCGAGGGUCCAAUAGCUUCUGCUAGAAUUUGGCCUAUAUACAAGGUACUAAGGUUUGCCGAUCUCCCUUUCUGUCUGCAUGCAUCAAUCUUCAGGAGUAAAAUGCUUGACUAGGCCAUUAUUUAAGUGGAUUUUGUAGUGUCAGGACUUACAUUAGGACUGCAGUUAACUUCGUGCUUACAUCGGUUUUCAUUAAAAUAUGCAUUUUCACUUGCUCAUUGCAGGCAAAUGUUGUUGCAUGAUAUGCAGUAACAUUGAUUACAUAUCUUGUGUUUGAUAGUAAGAUUUUUUUUAACAAAAUUUGCUCAAAUUGGCAUGUACACUCUGCUUGAUAUUGCUGGCUUUUUUUAUUUUGGAGUUAAUUUGAAGGUAUGGAGUAUGAUGACUAAAAUUGUUAGCCCUUACUUGAAUCCAGUUCUUUAAUAUUCAUUUUUCUCAAACUUAUUUUAAGAAUAAUUUUGUAUGUACAAUCAAAAUACUUUCCUAUAUUUUCUUUUCAUUUUUACUUUACUUAUUUUUAAAUCUGUUCAUUUUCUUUUAAACCUACCUCUUUUUACACCAAAAAUUGAUUACAAAAUGCUAGAAAUUCUCCCUCCUUUACCUGGGGAUUUUUAAAAAAUCGUGGACUGCCAUUCGGUAUAGAAACAAUUUUACUCAAUCUGCUUCCUGUCAUUUGAAUCAGAACAAAUCACAAUCUAUGUUUAUCAAUCAGUGAAUAAUGGUAGAAGUUUAUUUUAUACUUCUUGAGUCUCACAAACUUGUGCUUUUGCUUUAAUUUCAGGUUUCUUGUGGUAUAUAUUUGUGAAAGUUUCAGUUUAGUAUAGGCGUGACCAUUAUGCGGUGGCUGAGUCUGUCAAUUGAUGUUUUUCGUUUUGUUAUCUCCUUUAAUUUGUACUGCAAGGGUAUUCUAUAACUUAUCCUUUCAUGUGUUGAAUUCAACCUAAUUGUUUUUUCCAUUAUCUUCUUUAUCUCUGGCUAUCGAUGGGAUCCAAUCACCUUUCUUUCAA